CCUACGGGUGGCAGCAGUGGGGAAUAUUGGGCAAUGGGCGCAAGCCUGACCCAGCAACGCCGCGUGAAGGAAGAAGGCUUUCGGGUUGUAAACUUCUUUUCUCAGGGACGAAGCAAGUGACGGUACCUGAGGAAUAAGCCACGGCUAACUACGUGCCAGCAGCCGCGGUAAUACGUAGGGGGCAAGCGUUAUCCGGAAUUACUGGGUGUAAAGGGAGCGUAGACGGUAAUGCAAGUCUGGAGUGAAAGGCGGGGGCCCAACCCCCGGACUGCUCUGGAAACUGUGUAACUGGAGUGCAGGAGAGGCAGGCGGAAUUCCUAGUGUAGCGGUGAAAUGCGUAGAUAUUAGGAGGAACACCAGUGGCGAAGGCGGCCUGCUGGACUGUAACUGACGUUGAGGCUCGAAAGCGUGGGGAGCAAACAGGAUUAGAUACCCCUGUAGUC
This 443-nucleotide ribosomal RNA is filed under the name uncultured bacterium. Its description in RNAcentral is "partial 16S ribosomal RNA". It matches the Rfam family "Bacterial small subunit ribosomal RNA", at positions 338 to 795 of the family's 1533-position model. The record is from RNAcentral.